GAUUUAUACCAUUUAAUACAAAAAUGAAUUUACCAAAUGAUGAAAAUUUAGACAUAUUAAAUAAUAAUGAUAUUAUUCGGAAAAUAAUAGACAUUCAAAAUAUAUUAAUCAUGAUGUCAGAUAGUAUGGUCGUUUUAAAAAACAAAAAUAAAAUACUAGACGAAGAAAAUGAAAAGUUACAAAUACAUAUUAAUAGUAUUGUUAAUGAAAUUAAAAAAGAGGCUGUUCAUAAUUUUGAUGAUUCUACCGAAACAGUUUCUAAUAAUAUAGCAUUAAAAAACGAAAAUGGAAUGGGUGAGGAACGAGGUGGAAAAAAAAGUAACGGAAAAGGAAGUGACGGGAAAGAGCAUAACAAAAAAGAAAUAACUAACGAAGAAUCAAAUAAUUACAGUAGUGACAACUCAUGUAGCAGCCCAAAAAAUAGUACAUACAAAAACACACCAAAGCUUACGGAGGAGGUACAAAAAAUCAGUCACAAUAAAAAUAUAAUUAAUAAAAAAAACUGUGCAAACAAUAUUUUCGAAAUACAACAGGAACUACAUGUUAAUGAUAAAAGAGGAUUUAAAACUAUUCAUAAUAAUAAAAUAAAUAAUAAUAAUAAUACAUACACUAAUGAUAUUAAAAAUAUAAGUGAAGAUAGAUAUAUAAAUAAUAACAAUAGUAGUAAUAAUGAUGGUAUUAACAAAAACCCCAAUGUGAUUAAAUCAGUACCAAGAGAAAAUAUGUUAUAUUCUUUCAUCAACGAAAAAGAUAAGCUGAAUUCAAUUUUUAAUGUCGCAUCUAGUAUUAUUAGUGCAUCAUUUUUUAAUGUAUCAUUAGAGCAUAACAAUAAUACUACUAUCAGUUAUAGUACUAACAAAAACAGCAACAGUAACAACAGCAAUAGUAAGAAUAACAGCAAUAACAAUAAAAAUGACAAUAAAAGUGACAAUAAAAAUGACAAUAAAAGUGACAAUAAAAAUGACAAUAAAAGUGACAAUAAGAAUGACAAUAAGAAUGACAAUAAAAAUGACAGCAAUAAUGAUGAAAAUGAGAAUACUCAGAACGGUUACCACAAUACAGAAAAAUACACAGAUAUCA
Molecule: long non-coding RNA, 1080 nt
Filed under: Piliocolobus tephrosceles (Ugandan red Colobus)
Lineage: Eukaryota; Metazoa; Chordata; Mammalia; Primates; Cercopithecidae
Description: lncRNA (ENSPTEG00000016865.1)
Source: RNAcentral